RNAcentral lists this ribosomal RNA (1363 nucleotides) under uncultured eukaryote. RNAcentral's name for it is "SSU rRNA". It matches the Rfam family "Eukaryotic small subunit ribosomal RNA", at positions 83 to 1674 of the family's 1831-position model. The record is from RNAcentral.
GAAGCUGCGAACGGCUCAUUACAACAGAGGUAACCUGCUCUCGGUAAAAAACGGAUAACUAUGCUAAUUGUGUGGCUAAUACGUGAAAUCAAUCUGCGGGUUGCUCCAAUUACUUAUCAGCUCCUAACUUGAUUGUUUGCUGGGUGCUUAGACAUUUUGUCUUCCGAGAAUGGGUCUCUGAUCUAUCAGUUGUUGACGGUUGUGUUUUGGAUAACCGUGGCGUUGACGGAUAACGGGGAAUUAGGGUUCGAUUCCGGAGAGAACGCAUGAGACACGGCGUUCACGGCUAAGGUUGGCGUUCAGAUGUCGUUUCGAGCAGCAAGUUCAGGGCAAGUCUGGUGCCAGCAGCCGCGGUAAUACCAGCUGAGCUAGAAAUGGGUAACAUUGUUGCAGUAAAAACGUACGUAGUCACUUUUGUUGCUGUACGCACGUUCCAGAACGUGUUAUGCUCAACCUCUUGUGCUCUGUUUAGGGUGCGAGCUCCGCGAGUAAACUAGAAUGAUUGACUUGAAUGUUUGGAUAUGACAGCGUGGGAAAUCUGAUGAUGCCGAGGAUUUGUUGCUCAAUUUGCUUAACCUUCGGGAUAUACUGUAAGAAUGAAUGAGGGCAUCAGUACUUAGUAGCUAGAGGUGAAAUUCCUAGAUUUGCUAAUGACUAACGACUGCGAAAGCAUUUGUCUAAUUCAUUUUUGGUGAUCAAGUACUAAAGAGUGGGGAUCGAAGAGGAUUAGAUACCCUCGUAGUCCACUCCCUAAACCAUGCCGACUAGAAGUUGGUGUAUCGUCAUGGAACUUCAUCAGAACCUUAGCAGAUAUGAUAGUCUUUGGGCUCUGGGGGGAGUACGGUCGCAAGGUCGAAACUUAAAGGAAUUGACGGAACGGCACCACCAGGGGUGGAGCGUGCGGCUUAAUUUGACUCAACGCGGGAAACCUUACUAGGGUAAGACACUGGUACGAUUGACAGAUUACUUGAUCUUUCUUGAUUUGGUGGGUGGUGGCGCAUGGCCGAUCUUAGUUGGUGGGGUGACCCGUCUGGUUAAUUUCGAUAACGAACGAGAUCCGAGCUGUCUAGUUGGCGAUUUCUCCCAAUGUGAGGAUUCAGUCUCCUAUAUGGACUGUCAGUUAGAGGCUGAAGGAGGUUUCGGGCUAAAUCAGGUCUGUGAUGCCCUUAGACACUCUAGGCGGCACGCGCGCUACAAUGGGUGGAAUAUUGUGUUACUUCUCACGUGAGAGAGGGUGAAUCAAGAAUUCCGACCCGUGAAUGGGAUAGUUUAUUGCAAUUUUCGGACUUGAACUAGGAAUCCCUUGUAAGUACUCUCAAGAAUAGUGUGCUGAAUACGUCCCUGCCCUUUGUAGGCUUCGCCC